UUUUGAUAAAGGCAAACUUAUCGAAAGAUAAGGACGCAAAGCCAAGGGCCUAAAGUAAAGAACUUUCUUUACUAUGGCAGCCGGUUACCGUA
Molecule: non-coding RNA, 92 nt
Filed under: Caminicella sporogenes
Lineage: Bacteria; Bacillati; Bacillota; Clostridia; Peptostreptococcales; Caminicellaceae
Also listed under: 1 other name
Description: c-di-GMP sequence
Rfam family: c-di-GMP-I riboswitch aptamer
About the family: GEMM was predicted in a large-scale screen for bacterial structured RNA regulatory elements. Genes associated with GEMM are involved in a diverse array of functions, including chemotaxis regulation, signal transduction, secretion and chitin.
Source: RNAcentral